UACGGCGGGUGCAAGCGUUAUCCGGAUUCACUGGGUUUAAAGGGUGCGUAGGCGGGCAGGUAAUUCCGUGGUUAAAUCUCUGAGCUUAACUCAGAAACUGCCAUGGAUACUAUUUGUCUUGAAUAUUGUGGAGGUAAGCGGAAUAUGUCAUGUAGCGGUGAAAUGCUUAGAUAUGACAUAGAACACCAAUUGCGAAGGCAGCUUACUACACAGUUAUUGACGCUGAGGCACGAAAGCGUGGGGAUCAAACAGG
Molecule: ribosomal RNA, 253 nt
Filed under: uncultured bacterium
Lineage: Bacteria
Description: partial 16S ribosomal RNA
Rfam family: Bacterial small subunit ribosomal RNA
Source: RNAcentral